Molecule: ribosomal RNA, 675 nt
Filed under: Salmonella enterica subsp. enterica serovar Stanley
Lineage: Bacteria; Pseudomonadati; Pseudomonadota; Gammaproteobacteria; Enterobacterales; Enterobacteriaceae
Description: partial 23S ribosomal RNA
Rfam family: Bacterial large subunit ribosomal RNA
Source: RNAcentral
UGGUGGGUAGUUUGACUGGGGCGGUCUCCUCCUAAAGAGUAACGGAGGAGCACGAAGGUUGGCUAAUCCUGGUCGGACAUCAGGAGGUUAGUGCAAUGGCAUAAGCCAGCUUGACUGCGAGCGUGACGGCGCGAGCAGGUGCGAAAGCAGGUCAUAGUGAUCCGGUGGUUCUGAAUGGAAGGGCCAUCGCUCAACGGAUAAAAGGUACUCCGGGGAUAACAGGCUGAUACCGCCCAAGAGUUCAUAUCGACGGCGGUGUUUGGCACCUCGAUGUCGGCUCAUCACAUCCUGGGGCUGAAGUAGGUCCCAAGGGUAUGGCUGUUCGCCAUUUAAAGUGGUACGCGAGCUGGGUUUAGAACGUCGUGAGACAGUUCGGUCCCUAUCUGCCGUGGGCGCUGGAGAACUGAGGGGGGCUGCUCCUAGUACGAGAGGACCGGAGUGGACGCAUCACUGGUGUUCGGGUUGUCAUGCCAAUGGCACUGCCCGGUAGCUACAUGCGGAAGAGAUAAGUGCUGAAAGCAUCUAAGCACGAAACUUGCCCCGAGAUGAGUUCUCCCUGAGACUUAGAGUCUCCUGAAGGAACGUUGAAGACGACGACGUUGAUAGGCCGGGUGUGUAAGCGCAGCGAUGCGUUGAGCUAACCGGUACUAAUGAACCGUGAGGCUUAACCUUACA